UGCCACUGCUGCCCCCACUCUGGGAGGAGGCCAACGUUUCUCUUCCCGGCGUCAGUGUCGCCCCGGAGAGGGGCUGAUGAGCACGCCAUUGGCUCACGGGUGUGGGUUGGUCCAUCCGGGCCCCUGAGUGUGGGUCGGGGUUGGGAAGGACGGUGCGGCCCCAGUCUGCCUGGGCUGGAAGUGACGCAACCAGAGACCUCGGAGCGUCAUAAAGCCUAGCAGACACUGUGGCUGUGAUCCAAGCUCUGAGCCGAAGGCAGCGGGGAGGGGACUGCUGGGCACUGAGAGCCUCUGCUGGGCCUCCCGUAGCGUGGAUCUCUGAGGCGCUAAGGAAGGAAGCUUUGGGAAAAGAAGCGGGGACCCUCGCCCGCGUGCUGAUUUGCGCAGCCUCGCCACAGAACAGAACGCCUGAGGUUGGCAGUGGUGGCCGUCCUGGGUCCAGCUCCAGCCCCGUGUCCUCCAGGGCCCGGCCGACUCCAGCCACUUCUUCUCACGUCUGAGCCUCUGCCGCUGGGACUCCAAGAGGCCUGCUGCCAGCAGACGCUGCGACGGCACUCCACUGAGGUUCCUGCGUUAGCAGCCGUGAGGUGGUCUCCAAGUUGGAGCCAGGAAUAAAGCUGUGGUGGUGGAAGAAGCCCUCAGCCUGAGCCUCUCAGGUCCGUCAGCGCCUUCUGAGUCGGAGGCUGGGACGAGGAGGAGUCAGCGGGUGUGCUGCGUGCUUCUCCCGGUUCCUCCUGCGCUCCCGGUCUUGAGGAGAGUUGGUUCAGGCAUCUGCAGUCUCCAUGAUGCCCACAACAGCCAGAGCCAGACCAGGGUGAGGCCUAGAUCCUGAAACUCCAUUCCUGUCUCUCUCAUGCACGGAAGAGACUCAGGCAGAGUUACAGAGAGGCAGAGGCAGAGAGAGAGAAGUCUUCCACCCACUGGUUCACUCCUGAAAUGGCUGUGGUGGCCAGAGUUGGGCUGAUCUGAAGCCAGGAGUCAGGAGCUUCUUCCAGGUAUCUCAAGUGGGUACAGGGACCCAGGGUCCUGUGCCAUCUUCUACUGCUUUCCCAGUCCAUAGCAGAGAGCUGGAUUGGAAGUUGAGCAUCCAGGACUGGAACCAUUGCCCAUGUGGGAUACUGGCACUGCAGUCAGCAGCUUUCUCCCUAUACCACAGUGUGGCCCCCCACAAUGUAUUUUUAAUUACUGCUUUAAUCUCUGUCAUUUCCUUUUCUUGCUGAUUUUCUUAUUUAGUGUUUUUUCUAAUUUGUUGAGCUAUAACAUUAGAUAAUUAAGUUGUUUAUUUCAUAUCUUCUUUUUUGUUGUGGUGAUAUUGUACUACAUUUUGCUACAUCCUAUUAGCUUUGUAUGCUGUUUCCUUAUUUUCUUCAAGGUAUUUUUAGCUUCCCUCUUUAGUUUUUCUUUGAUCCUGUAGUUAUUUAGGGUUGUAUAUAGCUUAGUUCCUACAUAUUUGUAUAUUUUCUAAUUCACCUAUUAUUAAUUUCUAUUUUCAGACCACUAGGGUGUGAAAUUAUACUUGAUAUGAUUUUAAUCUUAAACUUGUUGACAUUAUUUUUGUGGCUUAAUGUAUGACCACAUAUAUUCUAUGUGUACUUUGGAUGACUUUUGAUUUUAUUGUAUUGUUCUUGGACAAAAUAUGUUUUUUUUGUUUGUUCUUUUUCUAGAUUUUAUUUAUCCCAAAAGUUACCUUUAGCAAGGUCAGAAGUACUUUGGGAGCUUCCAGUUUUAUCAUGAGGUCUUUGACUCUAAUAAAUCUUGCUUUUAAAUCUCAAAAAAUUAUUUUUUAUUUAUUUAUUUGGGAGGCAGAGCUACAGAAAGGGAGAGACAGAGAGAAAAGUCUUCCAUCUGCUGGUCUGCUCCCCAAAUGGCUGCAAUGGCCGGAGCUGAGACAAUCUGAAGCCCAGAACCAGAAGCUUCUACCAGGUCACCCUCACAGAUUCAGGGGCCCAAGCACUUGGGCCAUCCUCCACUGCUUUCGCAGGCCAUAGCAGAGAAUUGGAUCAGAAGAGGAGCAGCCAGGACUAGAACUGGCACCCACAUGGGAUGCCUGCACCAUAGGCGGAGUCUCAGCUCACACCAUAGCACCAGCCCCCAGAAUGUUUUGUAUAUGUCUGGUAGGACCAUUUGUUCCUAAUGCAUAAUUCAGUCCCAAUGUUUUCUUGUUGAUUUUCAAUCUAGAUGCUCUAUUGUUGAAAAUGGGAUUUGAAAUCCCUGCCUUUAUUGUGUAAUAGUCUGUUUUCCUUUAAAUUUCUUAUAUGUAUUCCUGUGUUUUAGAGACAGAGAGAUAGUCUGAGUUUAGGUGUGUGUAUAAUUUUAUAUCCACUUGAUGAACUGAUACUUUUAUCACUAUACAGUGACCUUUGUCUCUUUGUUACAGCUUUGGCCUAAAGUCUGAUUUAGUUGAUCUGACUUAUAGUUACCUCUGAUUAUUGUUGCUUUUCAUUUACAUUGAUUAUCUCUUUCCAUCCCUUCACUUCCAAUCUAUAAAUGCCCUUUAAAGUAAAUGAGCCUCUUGUAGCCUCUAUAUAGUCAUAUCUAUCUUUUUUAUGUUCUCCAUCCAUUGUUUGCCUUUUAUUUAGAGAAUUCAUUUACAUUCAAAAUAAUUAUUAAGAGGUGAGGAUUUAUUACUAUUUUAUUAAUACUGUUGUUUUAUAAAUUCAUCUUUUUUUCAUCUCUAACCAAUAUCCUUUGUGACUUGAUGAUUUUCUAUAGUGACAUACUUUGAAUCUUUUAAAAAAAUCUUUUUGUUAUCUUUAUUUCAAAAAGUUAAUGAAAUUAGAAUUAAAAUAUAAGUUUAUUUUGGUGAAAAAUAUUUUGAAAUUACACAUUUUCCUAAACUUUUAAGAGAUCCCUCAUGAUAUAGUUGUUUGCCUAGUGGUUUCCUAAUUCUUCUAUUAAAAAACAAAACAAAACAAAACAAAACAACUCUAGGUUGAGAGCCUUAAUUCUGAUAUCAUUCAAAGACUAUCCUUUUACUCCCCCUCCUCCUACAUUUUAUGUUGGAAUGUCACAUUUUCACCUUAUACUUUGUAUCAUUUAGGAAAUGUUGCAGCUAUAGUUAUUUUUCAUUUAUUUAUUUAUUUUAUUUAAGAAGUAGAGAUACAGAUGG
Non-coding RNA from Oryctolagus cuniculus (rabbit), 3109 nucleotides. The record is from RefSeq and is a predicted model, not a curated record. Lineage: Eukaryota; Metazoa; Chordata; Mammalia; Lagomorpha; Leporidae.